AGUAGAUUGGGAAACUCUUCAAAUUAAUAUGAAAUGCCGAGACAAUCCGGCGUUCCAAUGGCGGGCCCCAACCCUCAGGCAGCAAUGCUUCGGCAUUCCCCUCCUCUGUGGUGAUGUAUCGACAUCCAGGCGGAUUACAAAGGAGCGACGGAUCUCAAAUCCUGUCUAUUCGGAGUUUCAUCGCAUCCUUUGGUGU
This 196-nucleotide small RNA is filed under the name human gut metagenome. Its description in RNAcentral is "Bacteroidales-1 6S-Bacteroidales RNA suggested". It matches the Rfam family "Bacteroidales-1 6S-Bacteroidales RNA suggested", at positions 13 to 169 of the family's 179-position model. The record is from RNAcentral.